RNAcentral lists this ribosomal RNA (423 nucleotides) under uncultured bacterium. Its description in RNAcentral is "partial 16S ribosomal RNA". It matches the Rfam family "Bacterial small subunit ribosomal RNA", at positions 360 to 775 of the family's 1533-position model. The record is from RNAcentral.
AAUAUUUGACAAUGGGCGAAAGCCUGAUCCAGCCAUGACGCGUGUGUGAAGAAGGUCUUCGGAUUGUACAGCACUUUAAGUUGGGAGGAAGGGCAGUAAGUUAAUACCUUGCUGUUUUGACGUUACCGACAGAAUAAGCACCGGCUAACUUCUUGCCAGAAACCGAGGUAUGACGAAGGGUGCAAGCGUUAAUCGGAAUUACUGGUCGUAAAGCGCGCGUAGGUGGUUUGUUAAGUUGGAAGUGAAAGCCCCGGGCUUAACCUGGGAACUGCUUUCAUAACUGCUGAGCUAGAGUACGGUAGAGGGUAGUGGAAUUUCAUGUGUAGCGGUGAAAUGCGUAGAUAUAGGAAGGAACACAAGUGGCGAGGGCGACUAACUGGACUGAUACUGACACUGAGGUGCGAAAGCGUGGGGAGCAAACAG